GCAGUACUUGGGAUCGUUGGUACGAUUCAUCUCUUCAAGGCGUUUGCAUUCAGGCAACUCAAUCACCUUCUUCUCCAGCAAGUCGUCCAGCAUUGCAUCCAUGUCGGAGUCCGGAAAAGGGUAUACCUUCUGCUUCAUUUCCCUCAAAGUGUUUUUGUACCUAUCUUGGGUGUAGGAAGGCUCACUUCUUUUUAUCUCCUUUGCUUUGUUAUUGAAGGAGAUUUUGACGGGUGCGGACGAGGUCUUGAUAGGGAUGGUUUUGGUGGUAAAAGCUUCCUUGGCGGGCUUUUUCCCAUGAUUGUCUGCUCUUGAAGUAAACACCUUAUCCCUUUUGAAAUCGGUGAUUGGCUCCUUCUUUCCAUGGUGGGCGAUGCUCAGUUCCAUGUCGUGGGCACGGGUGGCUAAUUCU
This 409-nucleotide long non-coding RNA is filed under the name Malus domestica (apple). RNAcentral describes it as "long non-coding RNA (MDOM_LNC004499)". The record is from RNAcentral. Lineage: Eukaryota; Viridiplantae; Streptophyta; Magnoliopsida; Rosales; Rosaceae.